UUCUUUUUAAUUAAUUAAUUAAAAAACAGUACUUAAAAAUAAAAAUUUAGAGCGAUAGUACUUGUUUCUUAUCUUGACUCACCUACACUUUCAGCACAGUUAACUACGUAGGUUGGUGUUUAUAUGGGAAUUAAUUUCUUUUUCACUUUCAAGUACUAAUUAUAUAUUAAAUUAUUCGAUAUCUAUUUUAUUAGGUUAAUUUGUUUCAAGUGCUCUGCCUAUUUAUUUAUAUUAUCUUUUCAACAAUAAAUUAUUUAUUGAUGCUAAUAUUUAGCACUUAAUAGUUAAAUGCUAAUAACACCAUAAGUUUUUAAUUUAAUAUUCCUUCCUAACUAAUCAUACCUACCUAGGUUCUAAUUUAAAUAGCACCUAGAUUAUAACAUUGAAUUAUUAUGGACUAAUAAAAGAUAGCCUAUUUAGUACCUACUCUUGUUUGACAUUAAACCUAUAAUAUUAUAAGCAAAAUAUUUAUAACUUUGUUAACUUUAUGAUAGGUUGUAAUUAUAUUAUUGUUGCAAUCAUUGAUUAAAUUCCUACUUUACUAGUAGAUAUGGUAAAAAUUUAUGACUUCGUUUUUUACUGCUUGGCUACCGUUUCAUAGACAUCAAAACUCUAACUUUACAAUCGGCUUGCAGUCCAAGUACAGCCCUCAUGUAGCUUAUUAAAAAACUGCAUUCUUAUGGAAGACCGAUUGGAUAGUCCCCGCCAACGGAAAGACAUGGUCAUUGGUGACCUUAUAGCAGUCACGUAAUAAGCCAAUUGGAGCUAAUAAGGGAGGAACGAUUAGCGACUAUGAAGCUAGGAUCAUCAGGCUUUGGGAGAUACCCCCUACCAGACACCCUUAAACUUUAACAAUCUAUUAAAUUUCACUGGAAAGAGGUUCAUUAGCACUUUAUAAAUCUGUAAUUACAAGUCGCUGAGACAUGUAUUUACAGAGAUAUAAAAUUUUUAAUGUUUAUCAAAAAUUUUAAAUAAUCCACUAUAGAAAACAUGAGUACUAUUUUGAUAAUAAUUCAUUAAUAUUCACUGGACAGUGGUUAUUUCGCGCUGCAACUGUAGUUAGUGUAAUUGAUAAAUGUAAUAAAUCUAUACUAAUAAAUAAAAUUGAAGUGUC
Molecule: long non-coding RNA, 1114 nt
Organism: Maniola jurtina (meadow brown)
Lineage: Eukaryota; Metazoa; Arthropoda; Insecta; Lepidoptera; Nymphalidae
Exons: 3
Source: RefSeq, a predicted model, not a curated record